AAUCUGCCCUUCACUCUGGGACAAGCCCUGGAAACGGGGUCUAAUACCGGAUAACACUUACCUCCUCCUGGGGGUUGGUUAAAAGCUCCGGCGGUGAAGGAUGAGCCCGCGGCCUAUCAGCUUGUUGGUGGGGUAAUGGCCUACCAAGGCGACGACGGGUAGCCGGCCUGAGAGGGCGACCGGCCACACUGGGACUGAGACACGGCCCAGACUCCUACGGGAGGCAGCAGUGGGGAAUAUUGCACAAUGGGCGAAAGCCUGAUGCAGCGACGCCGCGUGAGGGAUGACGGCCUUCGGGUUGUAAACCUCUUUCAGCAGGGAAGAAGCGCAAGUGACGGUACCUGCAGAAGAAGCACCGGCUAACUACGUGCCAGCAGCCGCGGUAAUACGUAGGGUGCGAGCGUUGUCCGGAAUUAUUGGGCGUAAAGAGCUCGUAGGCGGUCUGUCACGUCGGAUGUGAAAGCCCGGGGCUUAACCCCGGGUCUGCAUUCGAUACGGGCAGACUAGAGUGUGGUAGGGGAGAUCGGAAUUCCUGGUGUAGCGGUGAAAUGCGCAGAUAUCAGGAGGAACACCGGUGGCGAAGGCGGAUCUCUGGGCCAUUACUGACGCUGAGGAGCGAAAGCGUGGGGAGCGAACAGGAUUAGAUACCCUGGUAGUCCACGCCGUAAACGUUGGGAACUAGGUGUUGGCGACAUUCCACGUCGUCGGUGCCGCAGCUAACGCAUUAAGUUC
This 732-nucleotide ribosomal RNA is filed under the name Actinobacteridae bacterium 10-1PB. RNAcentral's name for it is "bacterial SSU rRNA". It matches the Rfam family "Bacterial small subunit ribosomal RNA", at positions 123 to 867 of the family's 1533-position model. Lineage: Bacteria; Bacillati; Actinomycetota; Actinomycetes. RNAcentral also lists the same sequence under 1 other name. The record is from RNAcentral.